Small nuclear RNA from Nycticebus coucang (slow loris), 148 nucleotides. RefSeq annotates it as U4 spliceosomal RNA. The transcript has a single exon. NCBI's taxonomy places the organism in Eukaryota, Metazoa, Chordata, Mammalia, Primates, Lorisidae. The record is from RefSeq and is a predicted model, not a curated record.
AGCUUUGCUCAGUGGCGGUAUCACAGCCAAUGAGCUUUAUCCAAGGCACAAUUAUUGGUAACUGAAAGCUUUUCCCAAAACCCCACCAUGACGACUUGAAUUAUAGUCAGCACUGGCAAUUUCUUUUUCUUUUUUCUUUUAUAUUAAA